This 253-nucleotide ribosomal RNA is filed under the name uncultured bacterium. RNAcentral's name for it is "partial 16S ribosomal RNA". It matches the Rfam family "Bacterial small subunit ribosomal RNA", at positions 524 to 776 of the family's 1533-position model. The record is from RNAcentral.
UACGUAGGGUGCAAGCGUUGUCCGGAAUUAUUGGGCGUAAAGAGCGUGUAGGCGGCUUGGUAGGUCCGCUGUGAAAACUCGAGGCUCAACCUCGAGAUGUCGGCGGAAACCACUUGGCUAGAGUCCGGAAGAGGAGAGUGGAAUUCCCGGUGUAGCGGUGAAAUGCGCAGAUAUCGGGAAGAACACCUAUGGCGAAGGCAGCUCUCUGGGACGGUACUGACGCUGAGACGCGAAAGCGUGGGGAGCGAACAGG